RNAcentral lists this ribosomal RNA (497 nucleotides) under uncultured bacterium. RNAcentral describes it as "partial 16S ribosomal RNA". It matches the Rfam family "Bacterial small subunit ribosomal RNA", at positions 28 to 507 of the family's 1533-position model. The record is from RNAcentral.
GAUGAACGCUGGUGGCGUGCCUAAUACAUGCAAGUCGAGCGAACGGACGAGAGGCUUGCUUCUCUGAUGUUAGCGGCGGACGGGUGAGUAACACGUGGAUAACCUACCUAUAAGACUGGGAUAACUUCGGGAAACCGGAGCUAAUACCGGAUAAUAUUUUGAACCGCAUGGUUCAAAAGUGAAAGACGGUCUUGCUGUCACUUAUAGAUGGAUCCGCGCUGCAUUAGCUAGUUGGUAAGGUAACGGCUUACCAAGGCAACGAUGCAUAGCCGACCUGAGAGGGUGAUCGGCCACACUGGAACUGAGACACGGUCCAGACUCCUACGGGAGGCAGCAGUAGGGAAUCUUCCGCAAUGGGCGAAAGCCUGACGGAGCAACGCCGCGUGAGUGAUGAAGGUCUUCGGAUCGUAAAACUCUGUUAUUAGGGAAGAACAUAUGUGUAAGUAACUGUGCACAUCUUGACGGUACCUAAUCAGAAAGCCACGGCUAACUACGUG